UUUAAGUUACAUACCAGAAAAACCAUUUUAUAUAAUUUGCCAAAUAUACAUUUUUAUUAAAUCCCCAAAGUACGCUUGCUGAAAUACAAGUUAAUAUCACACUGAAAGAAUUUUGAUCAAUCAUGCUUCCCUGCUGUGAUUGUUUAACUGGGAAAACAACUUUUUCCACAGGAAGGCAAGUAAAUUUAAGGAAUACAUGUGCAAAGUUUUCCUCUGUUAUGUAUAAUGAUGACCCCCAUCAAACAUAAUGUUAGCAAUCUUUACACCUUUUAAUUUAUACUGAUUAUUUCUGUCAACAUGUGUGAAUUUGCCUUCAUUAGUUUCAGAAAAGAGCGAUGAUGUAUCGGUCAGUGGGCGGCAGCACGAGACUCCGCAAACUAGUCUGUAAGCAAAGCAGACGAAGGCAUCGAGGUUGCGGCCUGCCAUCAUUGUUAUUUUGCUUAAGGGACUGAAUAUGUUUCAUGCAGAAAUAUUAGCAUUUCCCUUAUAUCUACCAAAACUGCUUGUUUCACAGACUGCAGUUUUGUUUUGAUCCGAUGUGGUGUGCAAAUACAACCGUAUCUGCAAUGGGUUGUGGGGCAUUAACAUUUGUAACUCUAAUUUUGUUUUGACAGACUGUGAAAAGAACGUUGAGAACAUCACCACUCUACAGGAAGACACAGUCCAGUAAUGGGUGUCAGAAGUUCAGUAGUGAACGACAGGCAGUACUGAUGCAUUUACUGAGACGGGACGUGAGGGCCUACUCUGCGUGCUCAGAGUUCAAGCCCAGCAGGCUGCAGCGGUCCUGACAUAUUCUGGAACAGCAGCACAGUCUUUGGAUGACUCCUCUGAAGAUGAAAACAUGGCGAGUUCUUCUCAAGAGAAGCAGUACAGGUGUGCCUCAGCUCCACGCUCCCUCCUGCAACCUCCGCUCCUGAUGCUAACCUCAUGUCUCCAUCACACCAAGCAGCAGACCUGGAUUGACAGACCUUUCUCCAGAGCUGCCCCCUCCCUCUGAA
Molecule: long non-coding RNA, 998 nt
Organism: Pleuronectes platessa (European plaice)
Lineage: Eukaryota; Metazoa; Chordata; Actinopteri; Pleuronectiformes; Pleuronectidae
Exons: 3
Source: RefSeq, a predicted model, not a curated record